GAUGAACGCUAGCGGCAGGCUUAAUACAUGCAAGUCGAGGGGCAGCAGGUCUGUAGCAAUACAGAUGCUGGCGACCGGCAAACGGGUGCGGAACACGUACAGAACCUUCCUUCGAGCGGGGAAUAGCCCAGAGAAAUUUGGAUUAAUACCCCAUAGUACAUUGAAGAGGCAUCUCUUUAAUAUUAAAGAUUUAUCACUUGAAGAUGGCUGUGCGGCUGAUUAGGUAGUUGGCGGGGUAACGGCCCACCAAGCCUACGAUCAGUAACUGGUGUGAGAGCACGACCAGUCACACGGGCACUGAGACACGGGCCCGACUCCUACGGGAGGCAGCAGUAAGGAAUAUUGGUCAAUGGACGCAAGUCUGAACCAGCCAUGCCGCGUGGAGGAUGAAGGUCCUCUGGAUUGUAAACUUCUUUUAUAUGGGACGAAAAAGGCUUUUCUAAGUCGUCUGACGGUACCAUAUGAAUAAGCACCGGCUAACUCCGUGCCAGCCGCC
This 496-nucleotide ribosomal RNA is filed under the name uncultured bacterium. RNAcentral describes it as "bacterial SSU rRNA". It matches the Rfam family "Bacterial small subunit ribosomal RNA", at positions 28 to 516 of the family's 1533-position model. The record is from RNAcentral.